This 270-nucleotide long non-coding RNA is filed under the name Homo sapiens (human). Its description in RNAcentral is "HSALNT0249912". The record is from RNAcentral. Lineage: Eukaryota; Metazoa; Chordata; Mammalia; Primates; Hominidae.
UGCAACCUGUACUUGUUAACAAGGACAUACUGUUUCAUAAAAUGUUUAAAUUUUAUGUUUUGUGUGUGCAGAAUGUAUAAUGUAUUUAUUAAUGUGGCUCAUGGUUAAAAACAACCACCAAACAAAACCUGACCAUGGAGUAACCAGCCAGAUGCUCAUCUGUUCACCCCUCUCCAAACCUGCGUCACGGCUUGUACAUGAAACAGAACCUAGGAAUCUCAACUAGAUCCAUUGAUACCAGCGAAAAUUGAGCUUCCAGUUGAACCCACC